Long non-coding RNA from Oncorhynchus keta (chum salmon), 666 nucleotides. RefSeq lists it as uncharacterized. The transcript is spliced from 4 exons. Lineage: Eukaryota; Metazoa; Chordata; Actinopteri; Salmoniformes; Salmonidae. The record is from RefSeq and is a predicted model, not a curated record.
GACAGACAGACAGACAGACAGACAGACAGACAGACAGACAGACAGACAGACAGACAGACAGACAGACAGACAGACAGACAGACAGACAGACAGACAGACAGACAGACAGACAGACAGACAGACAGACAGACAGACAGACAGACAGACAGACAGACAGACAGACAGACAGACAGACAGACAGACAGACAGACAGACAGACAGACUUUCUUAAAGGCCAAACAACACAACUCUUCACACAAAACACAUCACAAAAUGAGCAACACUUUAAUAAGAAUAUAAAUACAUUAAAUUAAAACACGACACCAAUGACAUACGGAGGCAGAAUCCUGUCCGUGCACCUUGGAGGCAGGUCCACUAGUAACACCUGGCAGGUCCACUAGUAACACCUGGCAGGUCCACUAGUUACACCUGGCAGGUCCACUAGUAACACCUGGCAGGUCCACUAGUAACACCUGGCAGGUCCACUAGAGAACACAUGGCAGGUCCACUAGUAACACCUGGCAGGUCCACAAGUUACACCUGGCAGAUCCACUAGCAGGUCCACUAGAGAACUUCUGGCAGGUCCACUAGAGAACACCUGGCAGGUCCACUAGAGAACACAGACAACUAAAGUUCCUCUUCACUUUUCUAGGUGGAAAAGAGAUAAACGGUCCAGGGAAGAGCAGC